UAAAAAAGAGGAAUGCGCAUUCUACGAAUCGUAAAAAUAUCCACUUUCCUUCCGAAUGCAUCUUCUACUUUUAUAAAGUAUUCUAAAUUUUCGAGAAUGUGUUUUCUACAAUGUACUCUUAUGUCUACUCAAAGUAGAAAGUGUAUUCAGAAUUUUAUCAUUCUUCUACACUUUUAGAAGUCACCUUCUACGGAUAAGAAUACCUGAUUUUUUGCGAAAAUUAAUGAAAUUUCAGUUAAGAAAAUAUUCUAAAAAUCCCCUAGGAAG
This 267-nucleotide long non-coding RNA is filed under the name Brassica rapa (field mustard). Its description in RNAcentral is "long non-coding RNA (BRAP_LNC000070)". Lineage: Eukaryota; Viridiplantae; Streptophyta; Magnoliopsida; Brassicales; Brassicaceae. The record is from RNAcentral.